AUGACAGCAAUAGAAAUGAAACCCCUCUUGCCUCCCUCUUCCUCCCGGCCGGCAAAAACUUCAGACACCGCCUCUAUUUACACACCAUCAACAGGGCGGUCUUUCGCUCUUUGGCCGGGUAGAAGAAGAGCAGGGGGAUGGACGCCUGAUGCACAGGCAGUAACUUGUAAAACUAACAUGGUGACGUCCUUCGUGAGUGCCAUGCACUGCAACGAAUGGUCUUGUCUACUGUGCUGCCCUCGGUCAGGCGGAGGACAACGACAAGCGGCUGGACCACGCCGUCGGCGGUGA
RNAcentral lists this ribosomal RNA (291 nucleotides) under Triticum aestivum (bread wheat). RNAcentral's name for it is "partial small subunit ribosomal RNA". The record is from RNAcentral. Lineage: Eukaryota; Viridiplantae; Streptophyta; Magnoliopsida; Poales; Poaceae.